Molecule: non-coding RNA, 31 nt
Filed under: Rattus norvegicus (Norway rat)
Lineage: Eukaryota; Metazoa; Chordata; Mammalia; Rodentia; Muridae
Source: RNAcentral
UUAACUGUUAGGGCGACUGACAGAUUGUGGU